RNAcentral lists this ribosomal RNA (790 nucleotides) under uncultured bacterium. Its description in RNAcentral is "bacterial SSU rRNA". It matches the Rfam family "Bacterial small subunit ribosomal RNA", at positions 8 to 796 of the family's 1533-position model. The record is from RNAcentral.
AGAGUUUGAUCAUGGCUCAGAUUGAACGCUGGCGGCAUGCUUUACACAUGCAAGUCGAACGGCAGCGCGGGCAACCUGGCGGCGAGUGGCGAACGGGUGAGUAAUAUAUCGGAACGUACCCAAGAGUGGGGGAUAACGUAGCGAAAGUUACGCUAAUACCGCAUACGAUCUAAGGAUGAAAGUGGGGGAUCUUCGGACCUCAUGCUCCUGGAGCGGCCGAUAUCUGAUUAGCUAGUUGGUGAGGUAAAGGCUCACCAAGGCGACGAUCAGUAGCUGGUCUGAGAGGACGACCAGCCACACUGGAACUGAGACACGGUCCAGACUCCUACGGGAGGCAGCAGUGGGGAAUUUUGGACAAUGGGCGCAAGCCUGAUCCAGCAAUGCCGCGUGAGUGAAGAAGGCCUUCGGGUUGUAAAGCUCUUUUGUCAGGGAAGAAACGGUAGAGGCUAAUAUCCUUUGCUAAUGACGGUACCUGAAGAAUAAGCACCGGCUAACUACGUGCCAGCAGCCGCGGUAAUACGUAGGGUGCAAGCGUUAAUCGGAAUUACUGGGCGUAAAGCGUGCGCAGGCGGUUUUGUAAGUCUGUCGUGAAAGCCCCGGGCUCAACCUGGGAAUUGCGAUGGAGACUGCAAGGCUUGAAUCUGGCAGAGGGGGGUAGAAUUCCACGUGUAGCAGUGAAAUGCGUAGAGAUGUGGAGGAACACCGAUGGCGAAGGCAGCCCCCUGGGUCAAGAUUGACGCUCAUGCACGAAAGCGUGGGGAGCAAACAGGAUUAGAUACCCUGGUAGUCC